GGCUGAGUUUGAUCAUGGCUCAGGAUGAACGCUAGCUACAGGCUUAACACAUGCAAGUCGAGGGGCAUCGGGAAGAAAGCUUGCUUUCUUUGCCGGCGACCGGCGCACGGGUGAGUAACACGUAUCCAACCUGCCCUUUACUCGGGGAUAGCCUUACGAAAGAAAGAUUAAUACCCGAUGGCAUAAUGAUUCCGCAUGGUUUCAUUAUUAAAGGAUUCCGGUAAAGGAUGGGGAUGCGUUCCAUUAGGUUGUUGGUGAGGUAACGGCCCACCAAGCCUUCGAUGGAUAGGGGUUCUGAGAGGAAGGUCCCCCACAUUGGAACUGAGACACGGUCCAAACUCCUACGGGAGGCAGCAGUGAGGAAUAUUGGUCAAUGGGCGCUAGCCUGAACCAGCCAAGUAGCGUGAAGGAUGAAGGCUCUAUGGGUCGUAAACUUCUUUUAUAUAAGAAUAAAGUGCAGUAUGUAUACUGUUUUGUAUGUAUUAUAUGAAUAAGGAUCGGCUAACUCCGUGCCAGCAGCCGCGGUAAUACGGAGGAUCCGAGCGUUAUCCGGAUUUAUUGGGUUUAAAGGGAGCGUAGGUGGACUGGUAAGUCAGUUGUGAAAGUUUGCGGCUCAACCGUAAAAUUGCAGUUGAUACUGUCAGUCUUGAGUACAGUAGAGGUGGGCGGAAUUCGUGGUGUAGCGGUGGAAUGCUUAGAUAUCACGAAGAACUCCGAUUGCGAAGGCAGCUCACUGGACUGCAACUGACACUGAUGCUCGAAAGUGUGGGUAUCAAACAGGAUUAGAUACCCUGGUAGUCCACACAGUAAACGAUGAAUACUCGCUGUUUGCGAUAUACAGUAAGCCGCCAAGCGAAAGCAUUNAGUAUUCCACCUGG
Molecule: ribosomal RNA, 878 nt
Filed under: uncultured bacterium
Lineage: Bacteria
Description: bacterial SSU rRNA
Rfam family: Bacterial small subunit ribosomal RNA
Source: RNAcentral